GUGAGGUAACGGCUCACCAAGGCUUCGACGGGUAGCUGGUCUGAGAGGACGAUCAGCCACACUGGGACUGAGACACGGCCCAGACUCCUACGGGAGGCAGCAGUGGGGAAUCUUGCACAAUGGGCGAAAGCCUGAUGCAGCAACGCCGCGUGAGGGACGAAGGCUUUCUGAGUUGUAAACCUCUUUCAGCAGGGACGAUUGUGACGGUACCUGCAGAAGAAGCCCCGGCCAACUACGUGCCAGCAGCCGCGGUAAUACGUAGGGGGCAAGCGUUGUCCGGAUUUAUUGGGCGUAAAGAGCUCGUAGGCGGCUUGGCAAGUCGGAUGUGAAACCUCCAGGCUCAACCUGGAGUCGCCAUUCGAUACUGCCAUGGCUAGAGUUUGGUAGGGGACCACGGAAUUCCUGGUGUAGCGGUGAAAUGCGCAGAUAUCAGGAGGAACACCAGCGGCGAAGGCGGUGGUCUGGGCCAAUACUGACGCUGAGGAGCGAAAGCGUGGGGAGCGAACAGGAUUAGAUACCCUGGUAGUCCACGCCGUAAACGUUGGGCACUAGGUGUGGGGACCUAUCGACGGUUUCUGUGCCGCAGCUAACGCAUUAAGUG
RNAcentral lists this ribosomal RNA (601 nucleotides) under uncultured bacterium. Its description in RNAcentral is "bacterial SSU rRNA". It matches the Rfam family "Bacterial small subunit ribosomal RNA", at positions 252 to 866 of the family's 1533-position model. The record is from RNAcentral.